Molecule: unclassified non-coding RNA, 402 nt
Filed under: Hevea brasiliensis (rubber tree)
Lineage: Eukaryota; Viridiplantae; Streptophyta; Magnoliopsida; Malpighiales; Euphorbiaceae
Source: RNAcentral
CUCGGGUUGUCUUAAUUAACAUCACAUAAUAUUUAGGCCAUAAUGCAAAGGUUUCUCACACUUAUGGGUUGCAAAGGUUCUUGAGAUCUUCCUCCUUGGCAAAGGAGGUAGGUAUGAGCCUUGCAGCAUAGGGAUACAAAUCCUUGUAUGAGUUCUUUAUGGUGCCUUCAGCAACUCCAGUGGCAUGAGAUAUAUCGCGCAAUGGUUUCUUUUCGUCUGAUAGCUGAAUUAUCAUAUAGAUCACAGCAGCUGCAAUUGAGAUGGGACUCCUCCUCACAUCAAGCUCUUCAGACUUCUGAACUGCUUCUUGAGCAGCUUUUACAGCUUGAUUUGUCAUACCAAGAUGUGAACAAAAACGUCUCAAGAAAUCUCCAGCAUGGAUAGUACCCAUCUCGAUUGCCU